Molecule: ribosomal RNA, 253 nt
Filed under: uncultured bacterium
Lineage: Bacteria
Description: partial 16S ribosomal RNA
Rfam family: Bacterial small subunit ribosomal RNA
Source: RNAcentral
UACGUAGGGGGCAAGCGUUGUCCGGAAUCAUUGGGCGUAAAGCGCGUGUAGGCGGUCCGGUAAGUCCGCUGUGAAAGUCGGGGGCUCAACCCUCGGAUGCCGGUGGAUACUGUCGGGCUUGAGUACGGAAGAGGCGAGUGGAAUUCCUGGUGUAGCGGUGAAAUGCGCAGAUAUUAGGAAGAACACCAGUGGCGAAGGCGGCUCACUGGCCCGGUACUGACGCUGAGGCGCGAAAGCUAGGGGAGCAAACAGG